The sequence is a transfer RNA, 114 nucleotides long. It matches the Rfam family "tRNA". Rfam says of the family: Transfer RNA (tRNA) molecules are approximately 80 nucleotides in length. Their secondary structure includes four short double-helical elements and three loops (D, anti-codon, and T loops). Further hydrogen bonds mediate the characteristic L-shaped molecular structure. tRNAs have two regions of fundamental functional importance: the anti-codon, which is responsible for specific mRNA codon recognition, and the 3' end, to which the tRNAs corresponding amino acid is attached (by aminoacyl-tRNA synthetases). tRNAs cope with the degeneracy of the genetic code in two manners: having more than one tRNA (with a specific anti-codon) for a particular amino acid; and 'wobble' base-pairing, i.e. permitting non-standard base-pairing at the 3rd anti-codon position. The record is from Rfam.
GGCACUUUGGCCGAGUGGUUAAGGCGAAAGACUUGAAUGAAAUCUCACUUUGUGAGUGGAAUCAAGGCCAUCUUUUGGGAUUUUCCCGCGCAGGUUCGAGUCCUGCAGGUGUCG